RNA transcript from Gossypium arboreum, 4269 nucleotides. It is a transcript of the gene named ABC transporter I family member 11, chloroplastic, with no coding region annotated. The transcript has 14 exons. The record is from RefSeq and is a predicted model, not a curated record. Lineage: Eukaryota; Viridiplantae; Streptophyta; Magnoliopsida; Malvales; Malvaceae.
GGUGGCCCAAUGAUUGUUUUUGGUAAAUUGAGGUGAUCCAUUAAAAUGAGUACUAAUUCCACCAAAAAUAAUACAAAGCCUCAUCUACUUUCAGUCCCGCCAAACGCCUGCUGCACCACCGUCGACUGCCGUGUUCCUCCUCUUCCCCUACUCACUCACCUCUCUUCAUUUCGAUAAUCUUAAUAUUGAAUUUCACUUCAUUUUCGGACCCAGCAUGGCGGCUUUUACUUUCACAGCGUCUUCUUUAUUCGGUUCCAGAAUUACCGAGCCAUUAACCUUAAUCUCCUCGAAAUCGCCAUCCAUGUUGAACUUCAAAAGAACUCCAGUCAUUAAAAUCUCAUGUGAUUACUCUUGCUUGGAAGUUAAGGAUGUUCAUUAUCGACCUCCAGGGACUCAGAUUAACCUUUUGAAUGGAGUUAGCUUUUCACUUCCGGAGAGAAGCUUUGGCUUAAUUUUUGGACAGAGUGGAAGUGGAAAAACUACGCUCUUGCAGCUACUUGCAGGAUUGAGCAAACCAACGUCAGGCUCUAUUUUUAUUCAGAGAUAUACAGAUGAUGGCAAACCAACUCAAUCUCCGAAGUCAUUGGUUCCAGAAAGAGUUGGUAUUGUGUUCCAGUUCCCAGAGAGGUAUUUUGUAGCGGACAAUGUGCUUGACGAAGUUACAUUUGGCUGGCCAAGGCAAAGGGGUGGACCUCAAUUGAAGGAGCAUCUGGCAUUAAAUCUCCAAAGAGCGUUUAAUUGGGUUGGAUUGAAUGGUAUCUCCUUGGAUAAAGAUCCUCACUCAUUAAGUGGUGGUUACAAACGACGGCUUGCUCUUGCAAUUCAAUUAGCACAAGUCCCUGACUUAUUAAUAUUGGAUGAGCCUCUCGCUGGUCUUGAUUGGAAGGCGCGUGCAGAUGUUGUUAAACUUUUGAAGCAUCUGAAGAAAGAAUUAACCAUACUUGUUGUCAGUCAUGAUCUCAAAGAGCUAGAAGAGUUAGUUGAUCAAUCUUGGAGGAUGGAAAUGGGUGGAUUUCUGAGGGAAGAGCAGCUAGUGGUUUAGUUUAGAAUAUUGCUCAGUGCGCCCCAUUUGAACUUGCAGCAGUACAACCAGUAACUCCAUAUUGAGGCUGAGGCAUUACUGAGGACUUGUAAUUUUGUGUUCCUGCCCUGGACGUUGAUCCCUGAGAAAACCAGUUCUUGACUUCAACUUGGUGCAUCUGCUCUCCAUCAGUACUAUCGCCAUCAUUGUAAGGAGUAUUAUUCAUCUCAUUCUUAUGCUGAACUUUUGAUUCUCUUUCAGCUAUAGAGCUUUCAGGAUGGAUUUUUCUGUGAAACAGUCUAGUGACCUGCAAGCCACACUGAAAGUAAAACUCAUGCUGGGGAUUAGAAAUCCUUUUACCCCUUUCAUUAGAAUAAUUAAUCUGAAGGACUAUCCUAGAUCUGCUCCAUCUAAGGUAUAAAAAUAAAUGGAGAAUUGGACUUGUCUUAUGUUGCUCUGACUCUUCUCUUUUGUCCCAUGUUGAAUACCCAUAUCCAUCACAUAUUCAGCCAUUUGUAUGAGUUAUGAUUCUACAAAUGUAUGAAUGAACUUGGAAAAGAUUGAGGAUACUUGAGUUGGAUACGUACUUGUAUCCGACAUCAGCUAAGUCCAAGUAACAUAGGACUUAUCAGUUGACCAUGUCGAUGUUCAGGGAAGAAACAAGAAGUGUUUUUCAAUGGUGAGAUUAUAAUUAGAUUUAUUGGAAUAUCCAUAGAAUUUGCAAAUUACCAAAAGAAAAAGGUUGAUAUGUCAUGUUAGCAUGUGGUUAAUUUCAGUUUUUCACUUCUCUUUUUUUUUCUGAACUUGCUAGUGUAGGUACCGAGUUCUGUUUAAAAGGGCAAAAUCUAAAUCCUCCCUAGCUGAUAUGUUAUUGACAAUUUUGGCAAGUAUUCUUUGCUGAUAGAGAGUUAGGUCUAUAUUAUCUGAACUUUUCAGUCCUAAAGCUGUGAUGUCCAAUUCUUGCACAGAAAUUGAACAUAGGUACGAAAAUAUAAUAUUCCAAAUAUAAGGAACAACUUUAAAAUGAAAAUUAAACACAUACUCGUAAUACAGACUCAUCCUAAAUUCAAGUAUUAUAGUUAAAGACUGUCCCAGAAAUAUAUGCCACUGAAUUAUGUUAUGUUUUAUUAUUUUAUUACCACAAAAGGCCAUGUUGUGGACUUCUAGACUCUAGGACUGAAAUGUUCUGACUUGCCAGAGUUUGACUCGUUUUUCAGUGAAUGGUUUAUAAUCUAAGGCUUGAGAAUUAUGGUAUUGGCAUACAUGAUUCUUGUACCUUCUGCUCCUUGUACUCUUUAAUUAUUGUAGACUUUUUGACUAAGAUCAAUGCUACAAAAUAUGUGUUUUCGAAGGCAGGGAUGCACCAUUGGAUUUUACAUUAUUGAGGUCCUCCUCCUUAAAAUUCUUAUAAAGUUGUUAGAGAAUCCAGCCCCUGAAGACAGAAGACUCACCUUUUGGAGUUUUUUCUUGGUUGAAACAGGAUUAGUUUCUUUGGUGAAAGAGAUAGAACUCCUUGAAGAAGCAUGAAGCAUUUUCAGAAUCUUCUUGAUGAAAUGCUUGAGAGGUUUACUUGUUUGUUUGGUCUGCAUUUCUUCUUUCCCACAUUUUUCCAUAGUACUCUCAUCUGCAAUUUUUGUACCGUAGAACAGUUCUGCAAGUGUUGCCUUUUCUUUCUUUACCUGAAAUCUUGUUUCUGGGAGUUCUAUCAAAGACCCAAACAGAUAUCCUUGAAGUGGACAAACAAUUGCCUUCCCAUAUUCUUCAGCACUCACUUCUUGUGUUGGCUCACCAUUAAGUGCAAUUGUGCUAACCAGACUGUUCCUUCCUGAUGAUUCAUGAGACCCAUGUUCUUCAGCUUCAGGCCCAAGGAACUUCUCCAGUUCAUCAUUGAUGACCUUAAAAUCAUUUUCUGUCACCUCUGUUUUUCCCUCGGUUAUGUUUUCCAAAAACAUGGUGAAUCUUGGUGUUACAGGCUCGCCAAUAGCCCACUCAGAUGCCAGAGUUCCAAUGGUCAGAAAGUCAGUGGAUGUUUCAUCUCCAAAGUUGUCUACUUCACCAGCUUUGAAAUCUGUGGAGUUUUCACUUUCCUGUUUGCGCUGGGUUGUGUAUCUUGAUCCAUAUCCACAGCUGGAAGUUGACUUAGGAUGCGAGUCUUGCUCAUUGAAGGAUGAAUAAGCUGAAAGACAGGUGCAGUAGUUCCCUGAAGUCAGGAGUUUAAAGACAUCAGACAACAGUUGCACAAAAAGGAAUUUAUGUUGUGCUUAAGCAGAACUUAUGGAUUUUCAUUUUAAGCACUUAUAUUAAUGUACUUGGUUUAGCCAUCAUGAAAUGAAGAGAAAUAAGAUACACCUGAGACCAUGAAGAUGGGUGGCUACUACAUUAGAAAAUCUUUAGAGGAAAAAUGAUACCGAGUUCUGACUCUUAGCUAUGUGGCCGUCACCACCUAGUUUCAACAGUAGUGUAAGGAGCCUAUAUUUUACCCUCUGUUUUAGGUUUAUAAUCUAUCUGUUUUAUAUCUAUAUAUAACUCUGCGAGGGAUUCUAAUGACUAAUGCCUUAGUUCGUGUUGGGCAAGUCAACUGAUUAUCCAUAUUCAGCUAUGCUGAUCCAAUCUAGUGAUGAUUUUCAUGCCUCCAGGAUUGCUUUGUGAAUGAAAGAAGUCGGAAUACCAAUUCUGAAAUCCUUGAAAGGCUCAAUAUUACUUUGCUGUAACUUAUGCCACGUCCAUCCUAGAAACUGCAGCAACAACAGUAAGAGGAUGCUGCCACCAUUACGAGGACUAGGGACGUACUUAAAGGUUUCUACCUCAAUAAGCUUAGUUCAAUUGAAGCUUGGUGAAACCUGCAACAUUGUUCAACUCAACUGUUUGCAGAUGAUAAUCGAAACUUGCCAAUGAGACAGGGUUGCCGACAUUGAUACUUCAGUAUACCCAAAAGCAUCAAAGAGUCUAAGAUGUUAGAGUGAGCCGAGGAGGAAGAUAUGGUUCGCAUCAAGACAAAAGCCACCCCAAAAUGUCUUCAACUUGAAUCCUAGACCCCCCCCCCCCCCCCAAAUUUGGAUGUGAGGGCAACUUUUUGUCAUGUGCCUCUGCAUAUAAUCAUGGUCCAUUGUGUUGAAUACUUAUCUUCAGUCAUAUCCUAUCAUUACCUAACAGUGAAAGUGCAGGGCCGUAUUACUUACAUUACAUGUAUAUUUGAUGACAGCUAACGUUGUUAUUAAGAGUCUUUGUGAAUGAAACUUUAAACACAA